GAAAAGUCAAACGACAAAACCAUAGUUGAAUUGAGUGAGAAUAAUAUAUAUAUAUAUAGAGAGAGAGAGAGUAAAUACACCGCUACAAUGUCGGAAGAAGUAAUUCGCAACGAUCCCGAGCUGAAAUACCUUUCGGUGGAACGGAACCAAUACAAUGAUCCGGCCACACAGGCGGAAUGGACAUAGAAGCGCCUGGUCUGGGUGCCCCACGAGAAUCAGCAGAGACUAAAUUUUUGCCUGGGAUGACAAACAUUUUCUCAAUUCUAUAAUAUCCUUUCCUAGGGUAUGCAUUGUUGCUUGCAUUUUUCCGCAACAUGGAACGCGAUUAUUGCUUUCCGCCAAUGAAAAUUAUGGCAGGAAACGGCUGCGACAGAAUGUCAGGAUGCGUCGUGUUAAUAUUCCCCAAUAAUUGGUAAUAUUCACCCUAAGUCGAUGUCCAAAUAUAGUAAUUUAAGAACAUAAUUUAAAAGUAUGGAAUGGGACUCAUUGUUGUCAACCGGUUAUUACCGAUUCAAAUAAAUACUGAAAUAUACGGUAUUAUUUUCAAAAUAUACCGACGUAUUUUUGAUAUUCUGGCGAAUAUUACUAGCUAAAUAGAACCCUCAGGCCUGCCCACAUAAUUUUAUCCGACUAAUGAAUCAAUUUUCUACUCGACUGGUUUAUUUUAAAUACUUGCUUUUAUUUGAUUUUGCCCAAAGGUCAAACAAAUAAAACGUAAGAGAUUAUCUAUAUAAUGUGUUUGUACAAAAAUUGUGUGUACACACUUGCAACCAUGGUCGAUCUAUCGGCCUAGCCCGCCAGAUUCGAAUCUAUCCUUCUUCUUUCUAAUCUGUGCGCCCAAAAGUACGCUGACCGCAAUUGCCAAAACUAUGCAUCGUGGUAUAGCCGCUCUAUAUAACGAAUGACCCUUUUAUAUCUUUAUUAUCAUAUUGCUGAUUUUGCAUUGCUUUAUAUGAAUAUAAAACUUGAUCAAAAUGGAAAGACAUGAUGCGAGAUGUGGAUGCGAUGCGAAGUAAAGCAACUAAAAUUUUGUUGUAAUGAUUAGCUCAGUACGAUGAGAAGGUGGGUCGGCGGAACGUGUAUAUACGUUUCACAAGAAAAGUCACACGUGCAAAAAGAUUGACACACAACUCUAUUUAACUUUUGACAGAUGUCAGAAACAAUCCCAAAUAAGACACCUGCGUUCGUGGAAAAAGCUAUCACCACUAGGUGAAAAAGGUUAUUGUGCUAAAACAGCUCCAAAAUGAAAACUACGAAGUGCACGAUAUCUACAACCUGGGAAUGGGUGGAAAGUACGGUCAAUAUUCCAUUCUAUUUUUUCCAGACCGUUUUCCACCGUCUACUUCGUCAGUUCGCCCUCGUCUGUACCGUCAGCUAGUGUUGGCUCGGUGCAGAUAAUAAAUGUUUAUAAAAUUUUAAUAAAAAAAUGGAAUAUUUUGUUGAAUAAAAUAAAGAUAAAAAAGAAAUAGCAAGAGAGAAAUAAGAAGCAAAGGAGGCGAAGGAGAAUUGAUUCAAUAAAAAAAAGGUACAGAGGAAGUGCACCAGACCACCGACUGUUUCGUCUACAAUCCGGCCUGUUGCCUCGACGCCUAUCCGGCUUCUGAAUGCUGCGAUGCCGAAAUUAAUAAAUGCAGUUGCUGAUUUACUAUGUAUAUAACAAGGUCGAAAUAAUUAUAGUCAUAAAAUCAAAAUCAAAAUCAACAGAAAUAAAAUGUAAAAACAUUUUGUUUAGCUUUAUAACAUUGUUAUUUAAAAAAAAAGCGCCGAUAAGUUGCGCUUAUCGCACAAAAAUACCGAUAUUUUUUCGCAAGCCUGGAGGGAUUUUUCAUCGCAACACUGUCCAUUUCAUUACGUUUUAUUUCUGACCUUCUUUGCUCAAACCUUAUUUUAGGCACAAUAAAAUUAAAUUAAGCAUUUAAAGCUAGCUAAUCUUCUAGAAAAUUGAUUCAUCUAUCGGAUAAAAUUAUGUUUUGAGGACUGAAGGUCUUAGCUAAUCUUAAGUCGAAUUAAGUCAGCAUGAUUCGUGAUUAAAUAUUUUUAUAGCACUUUAGGUGAAAAAUAUCGUGGUCUUUUUUUAUAUAAAGAUGAAGGACAUGCAAGAGUAAAUAUUAUUUUUUGUCUAGUUCAAGUUAUUAUCAGUUUAAAUAAAGGGGGUUUAAGUGGGCUAAGUACGUUUUUUAUCAGACGGUCAGACUUCUGCUCUCUUCUGAAACGAAAAAAUGAGUCGUAAUUUUUUAAUGGGCCUUAAAAACGGGUAUGGACAACAAACAAAAACAGCCAAGGCAAAUUGCAAGGUUCGUACGAACCUUACCUCGGCGUUGUUGACAAACAAUAUACCUUGAAGUCAAAAGGGUGACUUUAUCCUUUUAUCCUCUUUUUUCUCGUUUUUAUAAGCAAAAAUUCAAUGUAGGUAACAAAAGGGGUUGAUGAAUUAUUCGUCUAAUAAUUUUAAUGUGUCAUAUUGAUAAAUCGUUCACUCUUUCUUGCGACGAAAAAUUGAGUCGUAAUUUAAAAUGGGCUAUAAAAAAGGGUAAGGACAAGGGGCAAAAACAGCCAAGACAAAUGUCGAGGUUCGCGUGUGAUGAAAAUAUUAAGCAAAAGUGGAUUUCAGCUUGCAUGCGGUUGCAUUUUCAGGGCCGUUUUGCCUGCUGUUCAUACCCUUUUUUUUCUGCCAUUAUGUGUAUAUAUAUACUGAAUAUAUACUGAAAAUAUACUGAAUGCGAGUACGCGUUGACAAUAAAUCGAAAACUAUAGAGGUGCUACCGUUAAAAUCGUUAAAAGUCAAACCCAAACACACAGACAACGCGAAGACCACGAAGCAAGUGGAUAGUGGAGUAGGCAAAAGUGAAAGAGAAAAUAGAGAGAACGCGAAACGUAACGCAACAAGGCAAUAAACAGUGAGUAAAGCAACCGCUGAAACGACGUGCGACGCGUCGAAAUAAAAGUGUGUAUUAAAAAACCUCAAUAGCCCCCACAUUACGACGAGAAAACUCAAACGACAAAACCAUAGUUGAAUUGAGUGAGAAUAAUAUAUAUAUAUAUAGAGAGAGAGAGAGUAAAUACACCGCUACAAUGUCGGAAGAAGUAAUUCGCAACGAUCCCGAGCUGAAAUACCUUUCGGUGGAACGGAACCAAUACAAUGAUCCGGCCACACAGGCGGAAUGGACACAGAAGCGCCUGGUCUGGGUGCCCCACGAGAAUCAGCAGAGACUAAAUUUUUGCCUGGGAUGACAAACAUUUUCUCAAUUCUAUAAUAUCCUUUCCUAGGGUAUGCAAUGUUGCUUGCAUUUUUCCGCAACAUGGAACGCGAUUAUUGCUUUCCGCCAAUGAAAAUUAUGGCAGGAAACGGCUGCGACAGAAUGUCAGGAUGCGUCGUGUUAAUAUUCCCCAAUAAUUGGUAAUAUUCACCUUAAGUCGAUGUCCAAAUAUAGUAAUUUAAGAACAUAAUUUAAAAGUAUGGAAUGGGACUCAUUGUUGUCAACCGGUUAUUACCGAUUCAAAUAAAUACUGAAAUAUACGGUAUUAUUUUCAAAAUAUACCGACGUAUUUUUGAUAUUCUGGCGAAUAUUACUAGCUAAAUAGAACCCUCAGGCCUGCCCACAUAAUUUUAUCCGACUAAUGAAUCAAUUUUCUACUCGACUGGUUUAUUUUAAAUACUUGCUUUUAUUUGAUUUUGCCCAAAGGUCAAACAAAUAAAACGUAAGAGAUUAUCUAUAUAAUGUGUUUGUACAAAAAUUGUGUGUACACACUUGCAACCAUGGUCGAUCUAUCGGCCUAGCCCGCCAGAUUCGAAUCUAUCCUUCUUCUUUCUAAUCUGUGCGCCCAAAAGUACGCUGACCGCAAUUGCCAAAACUAUGCAUCGUGGUAUAGCCGCUCUAUAUAACGAAUGACCCUUUUAUAUCUUUAUUAUCAUAUUGCUGAUUUUGCAUUGCUUUAUAUGAAUAUAAAACUUGAUCAAAAUGGAAAGACA
Drosophila miranda is the source of this 3970-nucleotide long non-coding RNA. RefSeq lists it as uncharacterized. The record is from RefSeq and is a predicted model, not a curated record. The transcript has 4 exons. Lineage: Eukaryota; Metazoa; Arthropoda; Insecta; Diptera; Drosophilidae.